UACAGGGGGGGCAAGCGUUGUUCGGAAUUACUGGGCGUAAAGGGCCUGUAGGCGGCCAACUAAGUCACACGUGAAAUCCCCAGGCUUAACCUGGGAACUGCGUGUGAUACUGGAUGGCUUGAAUUCGGGAGAGGGAUGCAGAAUUCCAGGUGUAGCGGUGAAAUGCGUAGAUAUCUGGAGGAAUACCGGUGGCGAAGGCGGCAUCCUGGACCGACAUUGACGCUGAACGGCGAAAGCUAGGGGAGCAAACGGG
Molecule: ribosomal RNA, 253 nt
Filed under: uncultured bacterium
Lineage: Bacteria
Description: partial 16S ribosomal RNA
Rfam family: Bacterial small subunit ribosomal RNA
Source: RNAcentral